AAUAUUGGACAAUGGGCGAAAGCCUGAUCCAGCCAUGCCGUGUGUGUGAAGAAGGUCUUCGGAUUGUAAUGCACUUCAAGUUGGGGGGAAGGGGUGUAGGUUAAUACCCUGCAAUUUUGACGUUACCAACAGAAUAAGCACCGGCUAACUUCGUGCCAGCAGCCGCGGUAAUACGAAGGGUGCAAGCGUUAAUCGGAACUACUGGGCGUAAAACGCGCGUAGGUGGUUCGUUAAGUUGGAAGUGAAAGCCCCGGGCUCAACCUGGGAACUACUUUAAAAACUGGCGAGCUAGAGUAUGGCAGAAGGUGGUGGAAUUUCCUGUGUAGCGGUGAAAUGCGUAGAUAUGGGAAGGAACACCAGUGGCGAAGGCGACCGCCUGAGCUAAUACUGACACUGAGGUGCGAAAGCGUGGGGAGCAAACAGG
Molecule: ribosomal RNA, 424 nt
Filed under: uncultured bacterium
Lineage: Bacteria
Description: partial 16S ribosomal RNA
Rfam family: Bacterial small subunit ribosomal RNA
Source: RNAcentral